GGAUUAGUACGCCGGUCAUGCCUUCGGUAUGUACUGGUGUUACUGAUUCCUACCUUCUGAAGAACCGUUAUGUCAUUUAUUUGGUGUGGCGGGGAAUCAGGACUGUUACUUUGAAAAAAUUAGAGUGUUUAAAGCAGGCUCGCGCUUGAAUACAUUAGCAUGGAAUAAUGAAAUAGGACGUUUGAUCCUAUUUUGUUGGUUUCUAGGAUUGACGUAAUGA
This 220-nucleotide ribosomal RNA is filed under the name uncultured fungus. RNAcentral describes it as "partial 18S ribosomal RNA". The stretch from base 38 to 220 matches the Rfam family "Eukaryotic small subunit ribosomal RNA", at positions 684 to 868 of the family's 1831-position model. Lineage: Eukaryota; Fungi. The record is from RNAcentral.